GAUGAACGCUGGCGGCGUGCCUAAUACAUGCAAGUCGAGCGAACAGAUAAGGAGCUUGCUCCUUUGACGUUAGCGGCGGACGGGUGAGUAACACGUGGAUCACCUACCUAUAAGACUGGGAUAACUUCGGGAAACCGGAGCUAAUACCGGAUAAGAUCUUGAACCGCAUGGUUCAAUAGUGAAAGACGGCGUUGCUGUCACUUAUAGAUGGAUCCGCGCCGUAUUAGCUAGUUGGUAAGGUAACGGCUUACCAAGGCAACGAUACGUAGCCGACCGGAGAGGGUGAUAGGCCACACUGGAAGUGGGACGCGCACCAGACUCCUACGAGAGGCAGCAGUAGGGAAUCUUCCGCAAUGGGCGAAAGCCUGACAGAACAGCGCCGCGUGAGUGAUGACGGUCUUCGGAUCGUAAAACUCUGUUAUCAGGGAAGAACCAACGUGGAAGUAACUGUGCACGUCUUGACGGUACCUGAUCAGAAAGCCACGGCUAACUACGUG
This 497-nucleotide ribosomal RNA is filed under the name uncultured bacterium. RNAcentral describes it as "partial 16S ribosomal RNA". It matches the Rfam family "Bacterial small subunit ribosomal RNA", at positions 28 to 507 of the family's 1533-position model. The record is from RNAcentral.